RNAcentral lists this long non-coding RNA (559 nucleotides) under Monodelphis domestica (gray short-tailed opossum). RNAcentral describes it as "lncRNA (ENSMODG00000037282.1)". The record is from RNAcentral. Lineage: Eukaryota; Metazoa; Chordata; Mammalia; Didelphimorphia; Didelphidae.
CUUUAAGGCCAGACAGAAUCUUGGGAAGGUUGCUGGUUGGAAUUCUGGGUUGCCUGAGUCAGUUGGUUUUCUAACUGCCAAGGAGUCCUGGACGUUUUUUUUCCUAGGUGGAGGUUGGCAUUUUGUUCCUUGGAACACUGAAAAAUCCCAGUGGUAGAUGAAGGAGAAGAACAGUAGAGACAUGGCUGGUGGUAGCGUGCUGUGCAUCUUGGUGUCUUGGAAUCUUGGUGUGCUGGUAGCUCUUGUCUGGGCUUGGCAUGAACAUGCUAGUGUUGGAAUGCAUAAUUUAUUGAUCGUUUUACAGAUGGAGACAUGGAUAUUUCAAUAUAUUGAAAGGUUAUAUCUGAUUGAAAAAAACACAGAAAACAAAAUUACCUUCUGAAGAUCAGAAGUGGAGACCAGGAGAAGCUAGUUAAUGGGAGAAGGAAGCUGGAGAUUUGAGAGGAUGCUCUAGGUUGGAGGUUCCAGACACAAUUUAAAGAUUCAGGGUGAAAUCACAAUGUAGAUAGUUAGCAGAAUUCAGAAAGCCAAAAAUCUAUUAAACUUUGAUAGUUCAAAU